This is a non-coding RNA of Heterocephalus glaber (naked mole-rat), 7850 nucleotides long. The record is from RefSeq and is a predicted model, not a curated record. NCBI's taxonomy places the organism in Eukaryota, Metazoa, Chordata, Mammalia, Rodentia, Bathyergidae.
CCACCCACCCUGGGCGGCCCCAGGCUGCAGCUGGUGCACCUCAGAGGAGAAGCCAUCCCGGUCCAGCAGGAACAGCUCAUUAGCAAGAGUGCAGAGUGGCAGUGCCACUGCCUGCACUUGGACAGGCAAGCCCUGCUGGAGCUACAGCUGCCCUGUGUCUGCAAGGUCUCUGGCUGGAGGAAAUGCCUUUCGUCAGCCGCAGGAUGGGCAGCUCCGGAAGGAAGGUCCUCUGGGCUCUCUGUCUCCUGCAGCUCCUGGGAGCCAGCUCUGCCAAGAACAUCUGGAAGCGUGCACUGCCCAAGAGGCUGCUGGAGAGGUUCCAAGUGGAAGAGGUGAGUGCCCCUGGCCACCGGCAGCCUCUCGCUGACCGCUGCCCACCGCCCCCAAGGACCCUGCCCCCCGCCGCCUGCCAGGCUGUGCGCUGCCAGGCCGACUCCGAGUGCCCGAGACACCGGUGCUGCUGCUACAACGGGUGUGCCUACACCUGCCUGGAGGCCGUACUACCUCCACCAGUUCUAGACUGGCUGGUACAGCCGAAGCCUCGGUGGCUGGGAGGCAACCGCUGGCUGCUGGACGGCCCCGAGGAGGUGCUGCAAGCAGAGGCCUGCAGCACCACUGAGGAUGGCGCAGAGCCGCUGCUCUGUCCCUCAGGCUAUGAGUGCCACAUCCUGAUCGCCGGGAACAUGGCCGAGGGCAUCCCCAACCGCGGGCAGUGUGUCAAGCAGCGCCAGCAAGCAGAUGGUGACUCCAAGUAUGGGGCAGAUCCGGGAAGGAACAACAGGGGCCCUUCCAAUGGGGCAUCAGGCAGGUUGAAUGCCUCCCUCUCCGCACAUCCUGAGAAAGAUGAGUUAAUCCUUUUCGGAGGUGAAUAUUUCAAUGGCCAAAAAACCUUUUUGUAUAACGAGCUUUACAUCUACAACAUCAGAAAGGACUCCUGGACAAAAGUCGACAUCCCUGGCCCACCGCCAAGGCGCUGUGCUCACCAGGCAGUGGUGGUGCCUCAGGGAGGCGGACAGCUGUGGAUCUUCGGAGGGGAGUUUGCAUCCCCCGAUGGAGAGCAGUUCUACCACUACAAGGAUCUCUGGGUCCUGCAUUUGGCCACCAAGACCUGGGAGCAAGUCAGAUCAGCGGGAGGUCCUUCAAGUCGGAGUGGACAUCGGAUGGUGGCCUGGAAGAGACAGCUAAUCCUUUUCGGUGGCUUCCAUGAGAGUGCAAGGGACUAUGUCUACUACAGUGAUGUGUACACCUUCAGCCUGGACACGUUCACGUGGAGCAAGCUGUGCCCAGUGGGGCCUGGGCCCACACCCCGGUCUGGCUGCCAGAUGUCUGUCACCCCCCAGGGCAGCAUAGUCAUCUACGGGGGCUACUCAAAGCAGAGAGUCAAGAAGGAUGUGGACAGAGGCAGCCAGCAUUCCGAUAUGUUUCUGCUGAAGCACGAGGAAGGGGGCGAAGGCAAAUGGGUGUGGACCCGGAUCAGCCCUUCAGGGGUCAAGCCCUCGCCAAGGUCUGGCUUUUCAGUGGCCAUGGCCCCCAAUCAUCAGACACUGCUCUUUGGGGGUGUCUGUGACAAGGAAGAGGAAGAGAGCCUGGAGGGCGUGUUCUUCAAUGACCUGUACUUCUUUGAUGCCACCAGGAACCGCUGGUUCAAAGGACAGCUGAAGGGCCCCAAGUCAGAGAAGAAGAGACGGAGGCGGGCCAGGGAAGAGGAGCACACAAGUGCCGACGGGCAGGAGCACGGGGCCGCGGGUGCCCCAGAGCCCCUGGAGGUGGUCAGAGAGGUGGUGACCGAGGACGGGACUGUGGUUACCAUUAAGCAAGUGCUCAGGGCCCCAGGCCCGGCGGGGGCGGCCCCAUCUGAGGAUGAGGACAGCGCUUUGGAGUCCAGUGGCCCCAGGGUCGAGCCGUGCCCACGCUCCAGUGCCAUGGUGGCUGUCAAGCAUGGGCUGCUCUUCGUCUACGGGGGAAUGUUUGAAGCUGGCGACCGCCAGGUGACGCUCAGUGACCUGUACUGCCUUGACCUACACAGGAUGGAGGAGUGGAAGGCCUUGGUGGAGGUGGACCCGAAGACCCAGGAGUGGUUGGAGGAGACGGACUCAGACGAGGACAGUGGCUCGGCCGAGGGUGCAGAGCGGGGAGAUGAGGACACGGACAGCGAGGAGGAGGAGGAGGAGGAGGAGGAGGAGGAGGAGGAAGAGCCACAGCACCCAGAGGUGGCGCCAGGGAGCAGUACGAGGACCACCUGCCCAGGACAGAGCAACACUGGCUGAAGCAGCUCGCUCGCGACAACCUGGAGCCCGACGCCAAGGAGAGGAACGUGCUGAAGGUAGCCCAGGCCAUGGCGAGGACUUCCUUUGAUGAUUCAGUUCAAGGCGCUGCAGAGGCCAGCAGUGAAAGCGCAGGGCAGUGAACUUCCUUUGUGCUGUUGAGCGUCACUGACCACGGGGUGAGCCAGGUGCCACGGGGGUUGCCGUCUAAGUCUGGCGAGGCCUCUGUUCUGCCCAUCUGUGUCAGGGUGGGGCUUAGGGUGAGACCACCUGUUUGGAGGGUCCCCCAGAAAGCCUGUUGCUCUUCUAAUAAAACAACUCUGCUAGUUAACUUUAAAAUGCAGUACCUGUUGCCCAUGGCUUGGCUCUGUUUGCUCUGUGGGUCUCUGGCAGAAAGUCUUGGAUGUUUUCACAUCUACCUCUUCCCUCAUGGUGUUCUUGGGAAGGACCUGGUGGAGACUGUCAUUUGCAAAGUAACGGAGGGAAGCUGGAGCCCAGGGCUCCUGCCAGCCCCACAGUGUCAGUGUCCAGUGCUGUGGCCCCUGGGGCCGGGAUGCACUCCUGGGAGUCUGGUGUCCUACUGCGUGGGCCGGUGCCUGCUCCAAGUUGAUGACGGGAAAUCGGUUUGUGCUUUCCAUAGUUGGGACAAAAGUUGGGCUUUAGUUCCUACUGGCGCAGGUUCCCUUUCAUCUUAAAGAUCUUAACAGUGAGAAGGUGGCACUUAGGGUUUCCCGUUGCUUGUUGUAACCACUGUGCCUCCUGUCAUCACCCUGGAGUUAACAAAAGCUGGGAAUACCUGGCAGAGUGGGGCCACUAUGGCCAGAACAGUCUCCUGCUUUUCCAGCUGUCGUCUUUUCAGCAGUGUAUCAGCCCCAAGAAAAUCAGGGCCACUCAGGGCCAGAGCCACCACGUUCAGGCUUGGAGGAAGCAGACCCAUGUGCUGCGCUCCUCUGGCAGGAGCCAGCUGUCAGCAAGGCUGGACAGUGUGCGCCACGGUGAGCAGAUGAGAGCUGGCCCUGAGGGACCCGCCCUAGCUGCCAGCCCCACUGAACUCCGCUCUCAGGACGUUAGGGGGCCAGAUAGCAGAAAGUUGGCCCGUCCCCUAGGAGACACCGCCCAGCUGACUGCAGUGCCGCAUUGGCUCACUCUCGCUGUGGAACCGUGGGGACAGGGACAGGUGCCACCUAGGCCAGGUGGUCCCUGGGGACACUUGCGUUGUAAGGGGGCGAGUGGGCUGCACUGGAAGCAUCCGGUGUCCAGCAGUGUGCAGCUGGUGUCCACGAUGAAGCAUAGUGUCCUGCAUGCCUUGGGAGCCACCCAUGGGCGUCCCACUCCCCCGGCUCCAGGGCUGGGAUCACUGAGCCCUCCUGCCUGCCUCCCAGGAGCACCUGAGCUGGCCCCAUAGUCUGUGCUGUGUUAGGGUGAGUUGUUGGAUUUCUUUGGAUUAGUUGAAUUGGAGAAUAAUUAAGAGAACCACCAAUUAAGCUCGGAAAUCCUAAGUUUGCUUUGUUUGGGUUUGUUUUUAGGUGUAACAGUGGUAUUUAUUCCAUUUGAAAGCUGAUUUUUUUUCACUGAAGUACAGAGGAGGUCCAUAGCUAGGUGACAGUUAGAAAUAUUUCCAGGCCCAGUACUAGAAGAAGCCUCCCCCAUGGAAACAGCCAGUUCGUGUCAGAGUCAGGAGACCGGAUGGAGCCCACAGCCACACUUGGGAGCCCCCUCAAAGGUGUGUUGCCGUGAGGUGACACAUGUUGGUUAAUGGCUUUCUGCAGAGGAAUUGCCUAGGGAGAAGAUAGUGUGUAGCUGGGCUGCCGUCCUGUCCUAGUCAGGUCCCGGGACUGCUCGUCACUGCUGCUUCCCCGGGCCUGGUGGCUCCUGUGGGGACCAGGUGAGUGGACACCUGUGGCCGGCUGAGGCAGGACCCACCAGUUCCCCAGAGACCAGUUGCUGCCACUUCCCCAGAUUGACCAGGGUACCCCAGAGGGCACACAGCACAGAGGAGGCAGCCCAGAGGAGACUCAGGCACCAGUGGCACAGCAGGUGGCCACAGUGCAGGGACCACAGCAACCCCAGCAUCCCCAGGUCCACCUGGAGCCCAUCGUGUCCCUCGUCACAGCCCUCUCUGGCCUGUGAGCCGCUGGGAGGUCACGGGCUCUGCCUGGGGGGACAGAGCAGUCACGCUGUGAAAACAGCGGAAGGGGAAGGGUGUCACGCUGCUAGGUCCUGUACGGCAGAACCUGCUUCCUGUGCCCUCUGCACGGCAUCGGGGCUGUGGCUAUCGUCCAGCACCUCCCUGGGCCUGGGAGACUGACACCUGCUGCAUACCCUCGGCUCACCGGUGUUGAUGCUCGCCGCCUGUUGAGUGUGAAUGAAACUCAUUGUACAGAAAACGCAGGCCUGGGGUCACUCAUUUCAGAGGUCCGGAGAGAUGCUGUCAGGACAGAGGCUCUGCGCCUUGCUGAGGACCUGGCUUUCUCCAUCCUGCACCCUGGCAGCAGAAGGGACUUCAGGCACAGGCACUGGCUUAGGAGGUGACACAAGUCUUUCAUAGUGUCAAAGGACAUUUAUUUCUGAAAGGAGCAAAGUGUCUUUAAUCUCAGCACUGUCCCUUGCUUUCAGAUGGUGACUUACAUAGUGGUAUUUAUCUAAACAGUUACAUUCAUCAGAGAAGGUUACUGUGUUUCCAGUUUGUAAUUAACCAAGCCAUUUCCAGCUGAAUCGAGGCCAAGGUAACUUGAGCCACUUUGACCAUAGGAACAAUCAGUGCAUAGCAGGCAUUUCCUUCGCAAUCACAUUGCAUUUGCCAGUGGGUUACAUGUGGCAGGGGAAAACAUUGAGGAGACACAGAUGGUAAGUCCGAGUUCACCAAGAGGGUCUCCCUUAGUUGGGCUUCAUGGUGGUGUUUCUUUGGAAACUGUGAGUGGUGCAGAUGGGCAGAGUCCAGCUAAAGCAGCAGAUCAGAGUCAGGUGCGCCAGCCCGCGGGCACGUGACACACCCAGCCGUGAUGCCACUGUGGGCCAGGGCCGGGCAGCCUGCAGAUGCUCAGGAAGCCAGGUUUCGUCUGGUUCCCGAACAGCCUGGGGCAAGAGGGAGGGGCGGUACCCUGCACCACUCCGCUGUGCCUCACGCCCGUCCUCCCCUCUAGCCUGAGCCCGGUGCCUGAGGAGCCACUUGGCACGGACCCCAGCCCACCUUGCUAGCCAGUGUCUGCCUUGUGAACCCGGGACGUUGUGGGAGUCUUGCUGAAGCUGGCCUGGACCAGAGAACAAACCUAAGUAGACCCCUGUGCUGACUGCCAGCUGGGGCCCAGCCUCACUCCUUCUGGUGGAACUCGAUGUCCUGCUCUUCUUCAGGGGCAGAGUCCUGUCCUGGACUAGAGUGAGAAUCCUGUAUGAAAUGACUGCUGUGUGUACUCCUUGUCAUGGGACACAGAGACCUGUGUCAGCUGUCCCUGUCAGUUGACUCUGGAGUCGUGUAGCUGUGGAGACAGACAUUUUUAACCCUAGUAGGCACCUUUAUGCUGAGUUGGUGAAACCAGAGGCAAGUCAAGUUGGAAGACAAGACCUAUGAGAAGUCAUGAACCCAAGCUUACUGGAGAAGGGAAGGUUGCCCCUUCCAUUGUCUUGAGCAGCGUUUUAUUGCACAAAGGCAGUGAAAUGAGCAGACAUUCUGUGAGAAGCCUUGGAGCAGAUUGAAGGUCCUGGCCCGGUCCCCACCGGGCUGUGGCACCGUCAGCAUCUGGGAGGAAGCCGUGGGCCUCUAGCCACAAGUCCAAGUGGGAACAGGUCCAGCUGGAGGGGGUCAGGUGCUGACUCCGAUGUUUGGAAGUCUUUAAAGGACAGCAGAAAAACAAAGUCCCCCCACCCCAAAAGAAGAAAAAUGUUUUGUGUAUUCCCCAAGUAUUCAUUCAUCUGCUGGUACCUGCAGUGCCUCGGGCUCAGCGCCCAGCACCCAGGGGCUUCGGCAGCGACCUUCAUCUUCAUGUGGGGUGGCUGUGUGCCUGACACAGGGCUGUUUUCCAGGGCAACAGGAGCACACAGGGCCGGAGCCAGGACGCGGGGCCACCUGGCCUGCACCCUGGGUACCCCACACGGCCUGAGGGAGGCCAGGCCCCAGGAGAACAAGCCGUGGUCUUGCUUCAUGUAUCUCUGUGAACCCCGUGCUCAGUGCUUGUGAGGAAGAGCCCUUUCCACCUCCCACAUGGGAGCUAAGAGAGAAGAGGUUUCCUGCUGGGUAGGUCUGACUGUGGGAAAGCUGGUCGGAAAGUCUGUCUCAGAGCCCCUUUCCACUCACAGUCAGGGCAACAGGUGUUGCAUAGUGGCAGUUUAGUGUCAUCGUCCUCCUUAUCAAUUAUUUUGGGCUCUGGUGCAUGCCUGAUCUGUGUCUUUGAGAGUGCUGGGCUAAUGAACUUAGAAUACAAAAGAAUGAGUAAAAAUGUUUCAGUUACCUAAAGUUAUCCAAGCACUUUGUAUGCACUAACAGCUCCAGAGGGACAAGGAAACCCAGGUGCGGGGUUUCUCAGACUUCCAGUAAGGGACACAGCCAAGCCACAGGCACCGAGCGCCUCUCCCACCUCUUCACGGCAGGUUUCCAGGAGGGGAAGGUGGACCCAGGAAGCCCAUAGGGCCUGGGCGAGACCUUGGUACAGUCACUUAAUUUCUCUCUGCUUCUGGUUUUCACAUCUGGAGCAUGGAAGAAGCUGUUGAGGGCAGGAAGUGUUCCCAAAGAGGCUGCUCUGGUCUGUUAAAACUCAUCAGCUGCUCCGGGCUCUGGGAGCCAUCCUGCCUUACCUGCUGCUGCCCUCUUGCUCGGCACCGUGAAUUUCCACAUCCCAGUGCAAGGAGGCAGGGGCUCUGGACAGACAGGAACGCCUGCUGGCCACAGCAGGGUGCCGCCUAACUGCCUCACGGGGAAGCCAGCCGGAGGUGCGCUUUCUGGAGUGCCUUAGACCAGAUGCCUUGAUCUUGAGCAGAUCCACUCCGUUCCCGUGGUUGUCCCCUCCACACUGGCUGCAGACAAGCACAGGGGUUGGAUUCCGUCCUGCCACUGGCAGCAGACAAGUGCUGUGCUCCUCAGUCACCUGAGCAAGAAGCCACUAGUGUUCCUACGGAGGGAAGGACAUGCAUUCCCUGCACUGUGCUGUGCAUGUCGAGUGACGUGCAUGUGUACCUGCAGCAGACGGUACCCACGUGUGUCAGGCCUUACUAGGGUACACAAAGGUCUGGAAUCUAUAGUUUCACGCAGAAGGUACAAAACACAUCCCACAUUAUGGUUCUUAGGGCUACAAAGAGCAGGAGUCUUUUAUUUGGUUCACUUCAGGUCUGCAGCAACCACUUGUUAUUAAAAAAGAGGAACGGAAAGUAAGAUGUACAAAAAGAUGUAUCCCUUUAAAAAGCAACAUUAUCAGAAAUGUCUGUAUCAUCUCCUGAGUCUCCCUCCCUCUCUGCCGCCUAAACCAAACUGUGAGAAGGAACGGGGAGUGAAUGGAUAACGGAAAACAGUAAAACUGAAUGUAACUGGAACAUGCUCUAAUCUUUAGUUUAUUUCUGGUUAAAAAUAUAGCAAUCCAGUGCAGUGUAGUAAAGAAA